GGGGGUGUAAGUCACUGGAGGCAGCGGUUCAUCGAUCUCUUCCUGAAUUUUGUUGUGUGAAAAGCGCAAAGCAUGAAUCGGUCGAUAAACCUCUGCAUCCAGCGCUCACUUUGCC
This 115-nucleotide microRNA precursor is filed under the name Acacia auriculiformis. RNAcentral describes it as "miR162 stem-loop (aau-MIR162)". Its record names the gene aau-MIR162. It matches the Rfam family "MIR162_1 microRNA precursor family". Lineage: Eukaryota; Viridiplantae; Streptophyta; Magnoliopsida; Fabales; Fabaceae. The record is from miRBase by way of RNAcentral.